AGCAGCCGCGGUAAUUCCAGCUCCAAUAGCGUAUAUUAAAGUUGUUGCAGUUAAAAAGCUCGUGGUUGAAUUUCGGGAUUAGUACGUUGGUCGUGCCUUCGGUACGUACUGGUGUUACUGAUUCCUACCUUCUGACGAACCAUCAUGUCAUUAAUUUGGUGUGGCGGGGAAUCAGGACUGUUACUUUGAAAAAAUUAGAGUGUUUAAAGCAGGCUCGCGCUUGAAUACAUUAGCAUGGAAUAAUGAAAUAGGACGUUGACCCUAUUUUGUUGGUUUCUAGGAUUGACGUAAUGAUUAAUAGGGAUAGUUGGGGGCAUUAGUAUUCAAUUGUCAGAGGUGAAAUUCUUGGAUUUAUUGAAGACUAACUACUGCGAAAGCAUUUGCCAAGGAUGGUUUCAUUAAUCAAGAACGAGAGUUAGGGGAUCGAAGACGAUCAGAUACCGUCGUAGUCUUAACCAUAAACUAUGCCGACUAGGGAUCGGAUGAUGUUAUUUUUAAUGACUCA
RNAcentral lists this ribosomal RNA (505 nucleotides) under Glomus sp. MO-G5. Its description in RNAcentral is "SSU rRNA". It matches the Rfam family "Eukaryotic small subunit ribosomal RNA", at positions 569 to 1078 of the family's 1831-position model. Lineage: Eukaryota; Fungi; Glomeromycota; Glomeromycetes; Glomerales; Glomeraceae. The record is from RNAcentral.